RNAcentral lists this ribosomal RNA (253 nucleotides) under uncultured bacterium. RNAcentral's name for it is "partial 16S ribosomal RNA". It matches the Rfam family "Bacterial small subunit ribosomal RNA", at positions 524 to 776 of the family's 1533-position model. The record is from RNAcentral.
UACGGGGGGGGCAAGCGUUGUUCGGAAUUACUGGGCGUAAAGGGCGCGUAGGCGGCCAACUAAGUCGGACGUGAAAUCCCCAGGCUCAACUUGGGAACUGCGUCCGAUACUGGAUGGCUUGAAUCCGGGAGAGGGAUGCGGAAUUCCAGGUGUAGCGGUGAAAUGCGUAGAUAUCUGGAGGAACACCGGUGGCGAAGGCGGCAUCCUGGACCGGUAUUGACGCUGAGGCGCGAAAGCUAGGGGAGCAAACGGG